Small nuclear RNA from Pteronotus mesoamericanus, 107 nucleotides. Lineage: Eukaryota; Metazoa; Chordata; Mammalia; Chiroptera; Mormoopidae. The record is from RefSeq and is a predicted model, not a curated record.
GUGCUUGCUUCUGCAGCACAUAUACUAAAAUUGGAAGGAUCCAGAUAAGAUGAGCAUGGCCCCUGCUCAAGAAUGACGCACAAAGUCGUGAAACGCCCCAUAUUGAA